This 474-nucleotide ribosomal RNA is filed under the name uncultured bacterium. Its description in RNAcentral is "SSU rRNA". It matches the Rfam family "Bacterial small subunit ribosomal RNA", at positions 26 to 518 of the family's 1533-position model. The record is from RNAcentral.
AGAAUCAACGCUGGCGGCGUGCCUAACACAUGCAAGUCGAACGGGAAAGUGGAGCAAUCCAUGAGUAUAGUGGCGACCGGGUGAGUAACACGUGACUAACCUACCCUUGAGUGGGGGAUAACCUCGGGAAACCGGGGCUAAUACCGCAUAAAAUCUUCGGGAUGAGAAGCUGGAGAUCAAAGGAGCAAUUCGCUUUUGGAGGGGGUCGCGGCUGAUUAGCUAGUUGGCGGGGUAACGGCCCACCAAGGCUUUGAUCGGUAUCCGGCCUGAGAGGGCGCACGGACACACUGGAACUGAAACACGGUCCAGACUCCUACGGGAGGCAGCAGUGGGGAAUUUUGCGCAAUGGGGGAAACCCUGACGCAGCAACGCCGCGUGGAGGAUGAAGUCCCUUGGGACGUAAACUCCUUUCGACCGGGAAGAUGAUGACGGUACCGGUGGAAGAGCCCCGGCUAACUUCGCGCCAGCAGCCGC